Molecule: long non-coding RNA, 521 nt
Organism: Photinus pyralis (common eastern firefly)
Lineage: Eukaryota; Metazoa; Arthropoda; Insecta; Coleoptera; Lampyridae
Exons: 3
Source: RefSeq, a predicted model, not a curated record
GAAGACACGAAAUGGGAACAAUAGACGACACAAACAGGAAACUUCUGACCUUUAUUGGCUGAUCACCUUAGCAGAUGGUACUAAAUCGAGGGCGGCCAGAUAGAGGAUCAGAUAUGCCUAAGGGUUUGUUGAUCAGCCGAGAGAUGUUAAAUGUCGUUGGAUAUUCAGCGUAUAAAAAAGAAGCUAAAAGGUGUUACGAGCUUCUUAACAUGUGCACCGAUAUUUAAUCCGUCGAAGCGAAAUAUAGCUCUACCAAAAAUACUACUAAAGGGUAGCAACUACUGAGCCAACUUUCCAAAAUUAUUAAUCCUUAAUCAAGGUAUUCAAUGCAAGUUUAUAAUAAUUGCGAAAAGUGGCAAAAAUCGUGUGCUUGAUUCUAAUACUUAAUGCAGAAUGCUCUUGACCCACGGGCAAAAAUGUGACACAGAUAAGGGGAAAGGAAUGUGACCGGGAUUUAUCAAAUGGAUUAGGGGUAAACUUCACGAAACAUUCAAAAUAGGAAAGGGACAACACAAUUAACA